Long non-coding RNA from Populus nigra (black poplar), 3151 nucleotides. RefSeq lists it as uncharacterized. The record is from RefSeq and is a predicted model, not a curated record. Lineage: Eukaryota; Viridiplantae; Streptophyta; Magnoliopsida; Malpighiales; Salicaceae. The transcript is spliced from 2 exons.
CCUAAAAUUCUAAACAAAUGGGCCUAAAGCUGUUCGAGGGAGUCAGCAUUUUUGUUGCAACAAGCGGACAACAUGCAAGGAUCAUCCUGGUUUUGUCUUUAACAAAACCUAGAGUUUUCCUCUUCUUCCACAGUUUUCUUUUCCUUUUUGGUCUUUCAAUAUGUUCAUGACCAGCUCUCUUAAGUUGUUUUGCUACUCUAAUGCCCAGUAUAUGAAAGUUUUGAUCUUUCUAAGCUUUUUUGCAAGCAUUCGGUUGCUUAAUUUUGAUAAUUUUUUCUUGCUUUUGAUAGAUUGUUUCCUUGUCUUGGUUUUGUUGCAUUUAUUCUAUUAUAGUUGUGCCUAUGAUGAUGUUAACUUUUUAUAUGCUAUCAUGUUCUAUAUCCAUGAAAAAAUCCAAAUCAUAGGCAUAUUAUUUCUUCCCCCUAGCUAGUUUGGGAUAGUUAAAGUAUUGAUUUUUUUUUCAAUUUGUUAGAGCUUAUAUUGCAAGUGAUGAUAAACAAGACCAACAAUCAGCCACUCCUUUCUGGAGAAUGAUGAUGCUGUCAAAAUAAGAAUCAUCAGAUCUGAUGCAUUUGUACAGGCUCUUCAAUCUUCUUUUGUCUGUAUAUUUAUUUUAGUUCAUUUUUUUUAUGAUGGUUAAUGAGAGGUAAUUAGUUAGUGUUUUGGUAAUGUGGAUGGCUUCUUAUUCUUUGUCAAGAUUAUGCAUUAUUGCUUGAUUGGUGUUCUUUUAGAGAGUUAAAUACAUUGCUUUAGUUUCAUUUGACAUAUUUAUUAUGAUGGCAUGAGUUCGUUCUCAAUGUCAAAUUCUUAAUUCAAUUAAAAAGGAAGAAGAAUUUCCAUUUAAUGUACAAAUUAGUAUGUGCUGGAUGUUGAGCCUCAACAGUGCCUAUGGUGGCUCUAGAGCUAGCAUGGUUUGCUCCAGAAUUUCAAUUUAAGUAAUUUAUUGAAGUCUGCUUCUGCCUACAGCUUCUCUAGUUAGUGUUGACACGGCAUUUUUUAAGAUUUUAAUUACUUACUGUGUCCAAAGUUAUUCCCUUUUGGUAUCAAAGUGAUUUAGAACUUUGAGUGAAUAAGAACUUACUAAAGUUUUGUUGUGCCUGUGAUGGGUUUAGAUAUACUAUGAGCAACAGCAAUGAAAUUACCUUAAUAUGAGGCACUGAUUGUUCAUUUUCUGGUGUGUUGAACGUAUCAUGACAUUACUAAUUGUGAUUUGAGUAAUUGGUUUGAAUUUAUGGUUUUGCAGAAUUUGAAUGUACGUUACUCGGUUGUUUCUUCUUGCAUGAUUACAUAGCCCUGUUGGAAGAAUUUUAUGCUUGUUUUCCUUAAACCUCCUUCUAUGAACUUAUUUUGCUAGAUCACUUUCUCAAAUAGAUUUUUUUUAAUAUAAAUUCUUAAUAGAUGGUUUGCCUAUGAUGUGAUUUACUGCCCGUAUCAUCAGACAAAGUGAUGAUAUUUUCACCACCUCUGGGGCAAAACCAUGAUUUGUUUUUUACCACGAUCUUAAGCAUAAUAUACCCUUCAUGGUGGGGUUGGGUGCCAUUUGCAAGAUAUAUAAAAUUGUAUUACAUUUGUGUUGAAAUGACAUUCACUGCUUCGUCAAUGAAUUUGAUGAACUUUGUAAAUGCAGAUCAGAUGCAUCAGCUGUUUUGGAUAGCACACUUAGUAAGGUGUGCUUAUUGGGUAUUCAUCUCUGGUUCUCAAGUCACAUUCACUGUUUGUCUAGAUGGUUUCAUGUUUGAUUCAGAGUCUCCAUAACAGUUACUAGAAAGCCAGAUGAUAUGGGGUCUUUGCAGCUUUCCACUCCAACUGCAUCUCAUAAUGGAUCUGCUUGUUGCUUCUCUUCCAGCUUUGUCUGUUUGUCUAGAUGGUUUCAUGUUUGAUUCAGAGUCUCCAUAACAGUUGCUAGAAAGCCAGAUGAUUGUCAAGUAAGAACUUGAGAUUUGAAUAUGGGGUCUUCGCAGCUUUCCACUCCAACUGCAUCUCAUAAUGGAUCUGCUUGUUGCUUCUCUUCCAGCUUUGUGAAGCUCAACCAUGUAUAUUUUGAGAAGCACUAUUAUUUCAUUUUCAAGAAUACUUGUUUUGAACAAAUGGGACAGUAUUAUGAACAGAUUAAGAUUCAUUCCGGUUUCCCAAGAUUUGAUACUGGCUAGCUAGCACACACAAUUUACACAUUGGUAGUUUCAGAAUUCAUGACUCAGAAAGAAGACACAUCAACACGGAUCAUCCUCCUUUUGCACAAAGGAACAUGUCAAAUUCUCUCAAAACGUGUUCAGUUUUACAUGUGCCGCACCACACCGACUUGUUCUUUAUUUUACUUUUAACUAUUAGGCUAUGUUUAUGUUCGAAGAAAUCAACAUUCUGCAGCAAAACAUCUAGCUAGAAGGGAACUAUGGCAGCACUAUUUUUGGCAAAAAGAGCCGUCAUUAACAUCACUAGAGCUUAAUCCAAGGAUCACCCUCGUUGUGUUGUGUCUGCCAACAGGGCUUACUUCUCCACUGCUUUUCAACGAGCUCAAGGUACCAGUGUAGCAGCAGAGACAAGAGAAACAAAUAGCCCAAAUAGGACACCACGAAAAUCUUAUAGUGCAACAAAUUAUCUAACUAGGCAAGGCUUAGACCCUGAUGAAUAUGCAGGAGUAGGAGCAAAACAGUUUGUGGCUGACACUGCCAAAGAAGGGGUUAGAAAAGCAACACAAGUAGCAAACACGAUUGGGGACGCGGCUAAGGAAACAAUGGAUGGUGCACGGGAAGCAGCCAAAGAGGCUAACCAAAAGGUUAGAGAGACAGUAGGUGGUGGAAAUGAUGAUAGUAACAGUCAUGAUCGUAACAGCCACGACAAGAACAAUAAUAACGUGGAAGAUCCAGUGUUUGUUGAGGUCCAUAAGUUGAUGGACCAGCUGUUGAUACAGUAGAGUACAAAAUUAUUGAUGAUUUGAGAAGAAUAGGUGACAGCAGAUUGAGAAAGCACUUGGUUCUUAAGUUUGCUUGCAUUUGGUGCAAUAACUAUGGUCUGUUACAAUGUUUGUAUCACGCUGGCUUAAUUAGAAAACAAUGGAUUUGUGAUAAGACCUGCACAGGGUCUUGUAUGUUUAUCUUUAUUUUCAGUAGGGUUUCUGAAUUGAGAUAAAAUGAGCUUCAAUAAUUUUGUUUUA